AGUAGGGAAUCUUGCGCAAUGGGCGAAAGCCUGACGCAGCCAUGCCGCGUGAAUGAUGAAGGUCUUAGGAUUGUAAAAUUCUUUCACCGGGGACGAUAAUGACGGUACCCGGAGAAGAAGCCCCGGCUAACUUCGUGCCAGCAGCCGCGGUAAUACGAAGGGGGCUAGCGUUGCUCGGAAUUACUGGGCGUAAAGGGAGCGUAGGCGGAUAGUUUAGUCAGAGGUGAAAGCCCAGGGCUCAACCUUGGAAUUGCCUUUGAUACUGGCUAUCUUGAGUAUGGAAGAGGUAUGUGGAACUCCGAGUGUAGAGGUGAAAUUCGUAGAUAUUCGGAAGAACACCAGUGGCGAAGGCGACAUACUGGUCCAUUACUGACGCUGAGGCUCGAAAGCGUGGGGAGCAAACAGGAUUAGAUACCCUGGUAGUCCACGCCGUAAACGAUGAGUGCUAGUUGUCGGCAUGCAUGCAUGUCGGUGACGCAGCUAACGCAUUAAGCA
RNAcentral lists this ribosomal RNA (495 nucleotides) under uncultured bacterium. RNAcentral's name for it is "bacterial SSU rRNA". It matches the Rfam family "Bacterial small subunit ribosomal RNA", at positions 353 to 866 of the family's 1533-position model. The record is from RNAcentral.